AGGAACCAAGGGAGUAUUCGAUCUGGCUCAGGCUGGAUCACCUCCUUUAGUAGGGGUUAGUGCCGAACGGGUGAGUAACACGUGAUAAACCUGCCCUUAACUCUGGGAUAAGCCUGGGAAACUGGGUCUAAUACCGGAUAUGACUGAUCAUCGCAUGGUGGUUGGUGGAAAGCUUUUUGUGGUUUUGGAUGGACUCGCGGCCUAUCAGCUUGUUGGUGAGGUAAUGGCUUACCAAGGCGACGACGGGUAGCCGGCCUGAGAGGGUGACCGGCCACACUGGGACUGAGACACGGCCCAGACUCCUACGGGAGGCAGCAGUGGGGAAUAUUGCACAAUGGGCGCAAGCCUGAUGCAGCGACGCCGCGUGAGGGAUGACGGCCUUCGGGUUGUAAACCUCUUUCAGUAGGGAAGAAGCGAAAGUGACGGUACCUGCAGAAGAAGCGCCGGCUAACUACGUGCCAGCAGCCGCGGUAAUACGUAGGGCGCAAGCGUUAUCCGGAAUUAUUGGGCGUAAAGAGCUCGUAAGCGGUUUGUCGCGUCUGCCGUGAAAGUCCGGGGCUCAACUCCGGAUCUGCGGUGGGUACGGGCAGACUAAAGUGAUGUAGGGGAGACUGGAAUUCCUGGUGUACCGGUGAAAUGCGCAUAUAUCGUGAGGAACACCGAUGGCAAAGGCAGGUCUCUGCGCAUUAACUGACGCUGAGGAGCGAAAGCAUGGGCAGCGAAGAUGAUUUAGAUAGCUCUGGUAGUCCAUGCCGUAAACGUUGGGCACUAGGUGUGGGGGACAUUCCACGUUUUCCGCGCCGUAGCUAACGCAUUAAGUGCCCCGCCUGGGGAGUACGGCCGCAAGGCUAAAACUCAAAGGAAUUGACGGGGGCCCGCACAAGCGGCGGAGCAUGCGGAUUAAUUCGAUGCAACGCGAAGAACCUUACCAAGGCUUGACAUGAACCGGUAACGCCUGGAAACAGGUGCCCCGCUUGCGGUCGGUUUACAGGUGGUGCAUGGUUGUCGUCAGCUCGUGUCGUGAGAUGUUGGGUUAAGUCCCGCAACGAGCGCAACCCUCGUUCUAUGUUGCCAGCACGUGAUGGUGGGGACUCAUAGGAGACUGCCGGGGUCAACUCGGAGGAAGGUGGGGACGACGUCAAAUCAUCAUGCCCCUUAUGUCUUGGGCUUCACGCAUGCUACAAUGGCCGGUACAAAGGGUUGCGAUACUGUGAGGUGGAGCUAAUCCCAAAAAGCCGGUCUCAGUUCGGAUUGGGGUCUGCAACUCGACCCCAUGAAGUCGGAGUCGCUAGUAAUCGCAGAUCAGCAACGCUGCGGUGAAUACGUUCCCGGGCCUUGUACACACUUCCCGUCAAGUCGCUCAACUCCUGACACCCCCCCCUACUAUAGAGUUGAUCCCAGCCUCAGCCUGAUCGACCCCCUGCUUCUAUUGCC
RNAcentral lists this ribosomal RNA (1434 nucleotides) under Arthrobacter sp. hct005. RNAcentral's name for it is "bacterial SSU rRNA". It matches the Rfam family "Bacterial small subunit ribosomal RNA". Lineage: Bacteria; Bacillati; Actinomycetota; Actinomycetes; Micrococcales; Micrococcaceae. The record is from RNAcentral.